Molecule: ribosomal RNA, 428 nt
Filed under: uncultured bacterium
Lineage: Bacteria
Description: bacterial SSU rRNA
Rfam family: Bacterial small subunit ribosomal RNA
Source: RNAcentral
UACGGAAGGCAGCAGUGGGGAAUAUUGGACAAUGGGCGAAAGCCUGAUCCAGCCAUGCCGCAUGAGUGAAGAAGGCCUUCGGGUUGUAAAGCUCUUUUAGUGAGAAAGAUAAUGACGGUACUCACAGAAGAAGUCCUGGCUAACUCCGUGCCAGCAGCCGCGGUAAUACGGAGGGUGCGAGCGUUAAUCGGAAUUACUGGGCGUAAAGGGCACGCAGGCGGUUAAUUAAGUUGGAUGUGAAAUCCCCGGGCUUAACCUGGGAAUGGCAUUCAAGACUGGUUAGCUAGAGUCUUGUAGAGGGGGUUAGAAUUCCAUGUGUAGCGGUGAAAUGCGUAGAGAUGUGGAGGAAUACCGGUGGCGAAGGCGGCCCCUGGACAAAGCUGACGCUCAUGUGCGAAAGCGUGGGGAGCAAACAGGGAUUAGAUACC